Molecule: long non-coding RNA, 396 nt
Organism: Archocentrus centrarchus (flier cichlid)
Lineage: Eukaryota; Metazoa; Chordata; Actinopteri; Cichliformes; Cichlidae
Exons: 3
Source: RefSeq, a predicted model, not a curated record
UACUCUAUAAAAAGGACACAUUUGCUUGGGACAAAUACUAUUGCUCUUUUUGUUACUGUCAAAUCAUCUAAAUGUGUGUUUUGGGUUGAUAUGUAGUUCCGCCAGCAGGGGGUGCUUGGUGCCUAACGCAUUAGCAGCUGACGGCCAGAAGAAGAAGGCUAGUCAGUUGUAAUGGCAGACUUUACACCGAGUACGCUCCGAAAAUAAACCUUUCUCUGUAUUUCCACAGCUUCUUGCAAAACCUACGAGACGGUCCGCCGCAACUUCCGCUACAGUCAACCUCACGUUCCGGAAAAGGCGACAGCCAUUAAAAAUCCUGCCCGGUGUCGUGCAAGAAGGAAGCGGCAGAGGAGGUUGCCUUCUGGGACGGUGUCACCACUGACCUCAUGUUGGAUG